RNAcentral lists this ribosomal RNA (397 nucleotides) under Ceratitis colae. RNAcentral's name for it is "partial 12S ribosomal RNA". The record is from RNAcentral. Lineage: Eukaryota; Metazoa; Arthropoda; Insecta; Diptera; Tephritidae.
CUUACCUUAAUAGUAAGAGUGACGGGCGAUGUGUACAUAUUUUAGAGCUAAAAUCAAAAUUAUAAUCUUUUAAUUUUUACUAUCAAAUCCACCUUCAUUAGUGUAUAUAAAAACUAAAUCCGUUUAAAUAAAUUUAUUGUAACCCAUCUCUUCUUAAAUAUAAGCUACACCUUGAUCUGAUAUAAAUUAUAAAUUAAAUUAUUGAAAAUUAUUAUUCUAAUAAAAUAUUCUGAUAACGACGGUAUAUAAACUGAAAAACAAAUUUAAGUAAGGUACAUCGUGGAUUAUCAAUUACAGGACAGGUUCCUCUGAAUAGACUAAAAUACCGCCAAAUUUUUUAAGUUUCAAGAACAUAACUAAUACUACCUAAGUGCUUAUUUUUACAUUUUAAAUAAUA